CAGUAGCCGCGGGAAUACGUAGGGGGCGAGCGUUGUCCGAAGUUACUGGGCGUAAAGCGCGCGUAGGCGGCUUCUUAAGUCUGAGGUGAAAGGUUCAACGCUUAACGUGAACAGUGCCUUGGAUACUGGGGAGCUUGAGUAUGGGAGAGGGCAGUGGAAUGGCUGGUGUAGCGGUGAAAUGCGUAGAUAUCAGUCGGAACACCCAUGGCGAAGGCAGCUGCCUGGCCUAAUACUGACGCUGAGGCGCGAAAGCGUGGGGAGCAAACAGGAUUAGAUACCCCCGUAGUCCCUGUCUCUUAUA
This 301-nucleotide ribosomal RNA is filed under the name uncultured bacterium. Its description in RNAcentral is "partial 16S ribosomal RNA". It matches the Rfam family "Bacterial small subunit ribosomal RNA", at positions 509 to 808 of the family's 1533-position model. The record is from RNAcentral.